RNAcentral lists this ribosomal RNA (22 nucleotides) under Sticta fuliginosa. RNAcentral's name for it is "partial 18S ribosomal RNA". The record is from RNAcentral. Lineage: Eukaryota; Fungi; Ascomycota; Lecanoromycetes; Peltigerales; Lobariaceae.
GAACCUGCGGAAGGAUCNUUUA